Molecule: ribosomal RNA, 701 nt
Filed under: Streptococcus sp. HFB0007
Lineage: Bacteria; Bacillati; Bacillota; Bacilli; Lactobacillales; Streptococcaceae
Description: bacterial SSU rRNA
Rfam family: Bacterial small subunit ribosomal RNA
Source: RNAcentral
AGGAGCUUGCUCUUCUUGGAUGAGUUGCGAACGGGUGAGUAACGCGUAUGUAACCUGCCUUGUAGCGGGGGAUAACUAUUGGAAACGAUAGCUAAUACCGCAUAACAAUGGGUGACUCAUGUCAUUUAUUUGAAAGGAGCAAAUGCUCCACUACAAGAUGGACCUGCGUUGUAUUAGCUAGUAGGUGAGGUAACGGCUCACCUAGGCGACGAUACAUAACCGACCUGAGAGGGUGAUCAGCCACACUGGGACUGAGACACGGCCCAGACUCCUACGGGAGGCAGCAGUAGGGAAUCUUCGGCAAUGGGGGCAACCCUGACCGAGCAACGCCGCGUGAGUGAAGAAGGUUUUCGGAUCGUAAAACUCUGUUGUAAGUCAAGAACGAGUGUGAGAGUGGAAAGUUCACACUGUGACGGUAGCUUACCAGAAAGGGACGGCUAACUACGUGCCAGCAGCCGCGGUAAUACGUAGGUCCCGAGCGUUGUCCGGAUUUAUUGGGCGUAAAGCGAGCGCAGGCGGUUUGAUAAGUCUGAAGUUAAAGGCUGUGGCUCAACCAUAGUUCGCUUUGGAAACUGUCAAACUUGAGUGCAGAAGGGGAGAGUGGAAUUCCAUGUGUAGCGGUGAAAUGUGUAGAUAUAUGGAGGAACACCGGUGGCGAAAGCGGCUCUCUGGUCUGUAACUGACGCUGAGGCUCGAAAGCG